GUGGAUGUAGCUCAAUUGGUUAGAGCAUCGGUUUGUGGCACCGAGGGUUGAGGGUUCAAGUCCCUUCAUUCACCCCA
Molecule: transfer RNA, 77 nt
Filed under: Candidatus Dojkabacteria bacterium
Lineage: Bacteria
Description: tRNA-His
Rfam family: tRNA
About the family: Transfer RNA (tRNA) molecules are approximately 80 nucleotides in length.
Source: RNAcentral